Liolophura sinensis is the source of this 550-nucleotide long non-coding RNA. RefSeq lists it as uncharacterized. The record is from RefSeq and is a predicted model, not a curated record. Lineage: Eukaryota; Metazoa; Mollusca; Polyplacophora; Chitonida; Chitonidae. The transcript has 3 exons.
ACGGCGAAACAGCGGCACUGGCUACGUCUUGGAAAUCUGACUGGCGAGGAAUAGACGAUAUUUUACCCGAAGAUGCAUCAAUGUAUCCUGCACAUGGUCAACAUGACUCUGUUAGCAUUAUUGGCUCUGUUCGUGCUAACGGGACACGGCGCUUCCCUUCCCUCAAAUGCAGUUGAGAAGCGGUCUCGUUACCACAUCAUACCGUACCAGUGUGACCAAUAUUCAAUGGGCUGCCAUAAUGGCGGCAAACUCUGGAAGAUCAAACGAGAUGCAUCGGGAAGUAUGAUAUGUUUCUGUAUUUGCCCUCGCCUUUGGACUGGUCCUGGAUGCAGAGAUCCCGAUUUUUAACACCAGUCAUGCACCGCCUGGGUCCUUUCCCGCGUGCGGGUCGCUGUGACGUCACUGCCGCUAGUAAUCGCUGCUUCGCCGUGGCAUCAAGGUCCAGGUUUUCUCUUGCCUCUACACUGAAGAUCUGUAUUAAUUUAUCGUAAAUACCACUUUAUCUUGUAUAAUGUUUGUGCGCAUUGUGAUUAAAUAUAUACGUAAGUUU